Molecule: ribosomal RNA, 729 nt
Filed under: uncultured eukaryote
Lineage: Eukaryota
Description: SSU rRNA
Rfam family: Eukaryotic small subunit ribosomal RNA
Source: RNAcentral
CGGGUGCACUGAUCCAGCCGGGCCUUUCCCUCUGUGGAACCCCAUGGCCUUCACUGGCUGUGGCGGGGAAACAGGACUUUUACUUUGAAAAAAUUAGAGUGCUCCAGGCAGGCCUAUGCUCGAAUACAUUAGCAUGGAAUAAUAGAAUAGGACGUGUGGUUCUAUUUUGUUGGUUUCUAGGACCGCCGUAAUGAUUAAUAGGGACAGUCGGGGGCAUCAGUAUUCAAUUGUCAGAGGUGAAAUUCUUGGAUCUAUUGAAGACUAACUACUGCGAAAGCAUUUGCCAAGGAUGUUUUCAUUGAUAAGGAACGAAAGUUAGGGGAUCGAAGACGAUCAGAUACCGUCGCAGUCUUAACUAUAAACUAUGCCGACUAGGGAUCGGACGAUGUUAUUCUUUGACGCGUUCGGCACCUUUCGAGAAAUCAAAGUGCUUGGGCUCCAGGGGGAGUAUGGUCGCAAGGCUGAAACUUAAAGAAAUUGACGGAAGGGCACCACCAGGGGUGGAACCUGCGGCUUAAUUUGACUCAACACGGGGAAACUCACCAGGUCCAGACACAGUGAGGAUUGACAGAUUGAGAGCUCUUUCUUGAUUCUGUGGGUGGUGGUGCAUGGCCGUUCUUAGUUGGUGGAGUGAUUUGUCUGCUUAAUUGCGAUAACGAACGAGACCUUAACCUGCUAAAUAGCCCGUACUGCUUUGGCAGUUCGCCGGCUUCUUAGAGGGACUAUCGG